RNAcentral lists this long non-coding RNA (812 nucleotides) under Chrysemys picta bellii (western painted turtle). Its description in RNAcentral is "lncRNA (ENSCPBG00000026882.1)". The record is from RNAcentral. Lineage: Eukaryota; Metazoa; Chordata; Testudines; Emydidae.
GCCCCGCAGUGUACGUGGCACUGUACACACAGCCGCGGCCCCCAAGGCAGGCCAGUGGCAGUGUGAAUCCGACUCAGCGCAGCAAAGGACGCCAAGGCACAAAGGAGGAGGAAGGAUAACGGGGGACGAGAGUUGGGACAGUGAGAGAUUACCGUCCUCUCAGCAUCCUGAUCCUCUUUGGUGUCACUGAGAAGGAGAAUCAGACCAAUAAUUGGCUUAUAUCUCCUCACUGAGUGAAUUCAAGGCUCGUUGCUUGUCCUAUAAUCAUGCACUAUGAGACAGCAAUUACAAAGCACUCCAGUCAGUGCCUCUUUAAUGUGAAGAAAAGAGUGUUGGAGCCUGAAACGUCCAUGAACUUUGGGCAGAAAGAGGAGCCUGAAGAACUUUUGGUGGCAAUAUCAAGUUCCUUUUGAGGAGGAGUGAGAUGAAAUCGUCAGUGACUGAAAGUAUUAAGAAGCAGGGUGAAGAAUAUGGAAAAAAUAAUUAUAUGGAAAGUAAAGGGAGUUAAGGAAAUCAGUAAAACGAGGAAGAAAGUUGCAGACAGGAAAAUGGACUGAAACCUACCUGAAAAGAUACUAUAUUUAUAUGUUUUUUCUGUCAUUUUCUCUGCGCAUUCAGGAUGUCUGAACAGUGUUACAGCAUGAUUGGUUUGCUGGUUAAAUAUAAAAAAAACACCUUUAUUUAUUUUCCCUACUGAUUAAAAUUCUGUUCUUAAAACUAUUGUUUUGCUGAUGGUGAGUAAAUGGGAAUAAGGAAUUAACACUACAGGUAUUAAGGUAUUUAUGUAAUGUGGGGUGAAAACUCAGGAUAUA